CCCUUAGAUGUUCUGGGCUGCACGCGCGCUACACUGAAGCGUUCAACGAGUAUUCACCUUGCCCGGGAGGGUUGGGUAAUCUUUUUAAAACGCUUCGUGAUGGGGAUAGAUUAUUGCAAUUAUUAAUCUUCAACGAGGAAUUCCUAGUAAGCGCGAGUCAUCAGCUCGUGCUGAUUACGUCCCUGCCCUUUGUACACACCGCCCGUCGCUCCUACCGAUUGAGUGCUCAGGUGAAUAAUUCGGACUGCAGCAGUGUUUGGAUCCCGAACGCUGCAGCGGAAAGUUUAGUGAACCUUAUCACUUAGAGGAAGGAGAAGUCGUAACA
Molecule: ribosomal RNA, 325 nt
Filed under: uncultured eukaryote
Lineage: Eukaryota
Description: partial 18S ribosomal RNA
Rfam family: Eukaryotic small subunit ribosomal RNA
Source: RNAcentral